CAGGGACGGGCAGCUUUGUGCCCAGACCCCUGGGCCUUUCCCGGGGUGUGGGGCUGGCCGUGGAGGCCCAGUGCACGUCACCCACGGGGGCUGCUGUGCUCUUUGCAGAGCUGCUUUGCUUGCGGCGAGCAUGGCGCUGCGAUCGACUGCCAGGGGAAGGAUUGCAGCCGCAGCUUCCACCUCCCCUGCGCCUCCAGCAACGGCUGCGUCACGCAGUUUUUCAAGGCCUACAGGUCCUUCUGCUCGGAGCACCGCCCGGAGCAGGCGGUGCCGGUACCCCCAGACGAAGAAACCACUGUACCUCUAUUUUCCAGGUUAUUUCCCAACUUAUUCUGGAUUCUGCUGCGAGCCUAUUUUAGCUCUACCAAAAAAUCAGGAUUUCUGUCUCAUUGGAGAGAGGAAUUCCCUGGCAGCAUCGCAACUGAAAUGUUCUAGGCACCCAACAGAAAUGGGACAGACGAACAUGGAUUGAACGUAUUAAGCCAGUGGCUAAUGCUACAACAGGUAGGAGUCAACAAGAAAGCAAAAGACUUUACAUGAGGACUAUCACUGGUAGGACAUAAAAAAGGAGAAUACAGAAUUAAGCAAGACAGUUGAGCCUGUGCCACUCUUAGAUGGUCCAUUCAGUUUGAUGGCUUGGGGUUUAUUGCUCUCUAGGAGACACCUGAGGUUCAAACACUUGGAAUAUACUUGCGAGGGGAGUAACUAAGCCAGGACUUUAACAGAACCUGGGCAGGAAAACUUCCCGACCUCUAACCUGCCCCUUCGCGCCUACGUUGUGUGCACAGACAACUCUCCGGGCACACCCCGGUUGUUCCAGCUCUAAAGCAAGUGCUAAUGCUGCUUCACCAAGUGCCAAGAGCAGCCCCGGUGUUUUGCUCCUAAACCACUCUCCACCAGGAACCUCCAGUUCCUUCAGGCGUAGUUGUUCAGAGAAUCCAGACAAGAAGGUGACAAAUCCUAUUCCUUCGGAAGAAAAGUCAGGGAUACGUCCUCGAGUGCAGAAACUGAGUUUGCCUUUGACUACAGUCUUGACCCUUCAGCGCCCAGAUAUAUCUGAACGUUCCAGCCAACACCAGAAAAAAAAAAAAAAUCACUGCUGUAAGGAGCUAAAGGUGAAGGUUCAUCAAAUACAAGCAAACAGGAACUUCUCCAGCAACACCACAGUACUUCUGCAGGUAUGUUUACGUACUCUCAUGCCUGGCUUUUUAAGUUACAGUUUUCAAAGACUCCCUGUUCUGAGCUGAGGAUUAGCUUACUUGAUCCUGUUGCUAACGUUUACGUAGCAUUUGGGUUUUAGCUUAAUACUUUUCCUACGGAUCCACUUUAGCAGAGACCGAGAGCAGGCACUAAUGGCUUAAUUUGUGAAGGGGUGCGGAAAGGGCCGUGCAAAAGCAAAACUUGUACCCAUUAGUUAUGUCUGUUCUUUGCUAGCCGAGACCCCUCGGCAGAGGCAAAGCACCUGUUUUGCAAAGGAGCCGAUACACUCGAUCUUAAUUUUCGCUUCAGCCUUUUCCUUUUGCAGUCCCAGUAUUUGUUCUCCGUGCUUCCCAAAACACGUGUCUCCACUUGAGAGUGCUGGUCCUCUGCUGCCCAAAACAGGCUCCCCUGCCUCGCGCCGGGAGCUUGGCGUGACCAGCCGCGGUGCCAAGCGGGAGCCUUCGGCCGACGGGAAGCCCAGGGGGCCCUGAGCUUUCCUGGGCCCAGCCUUGCGCACCGCGCGUGCCCUCGGCAAUCGGGGUGCCUGAAGACAACGUGUCCGUCAUGAAAUUGCAGACUAACCAAAGCAGAACAAAGUUUCGGCAGGGUUGUGAGCCUCUGCUUCAUUUUUUUCCCUCUAUGAUGCAACAAAGUAAGUUUUAUUUA
This is a long non-coding RNA of Dromaius novaehollandiae (emu), 1866 nucleotides long. RefSeq lists it as uncharacterized. The transcript is spliced from 2 exons. The record is from RefSeq and is a predicted model, not a curated record. Lineage: Eukaryota; Metazoa; Chordata; Aves; Casuariiformes; Dromaiidae.